AUUGAACGCUGGCGGCAUGCCUAACACAUGCAAGUCGAACGCUUUUUCUUUCACCGGAGCUUGCUCCACCGAAAGAAAAAGAGUGGCGAACGGGUGAGUAACACGUGGGUAACCUGCCCAUCAGAAGGGGAUAACACUUGGAAACAGGUGCUAAUACCGUAUAACACUAUUUUCCGCAUGGAAGAAAGUUGAAAGGCGCUUUUGCGUCACUGAUGGAUGGACCCGCGGUGCAUUAGCUAGUUGGUGAGGUAACGGCUCACCAAGGCCACGAUGCAUAGCCGACCUGAGAGGGUGAUCGGCCACACUGGGACUGAGACACGGCCCAGACUCCUACGGGAGGCAGCAGUAGGGAAUCUUCGGCAAUGGACGAAAGUCUGACCGAGCAACGCCGCGUGAGUGAAGAAGGUUUUCGGAUCGUAAAACUCUGUUGUUAGAGAAGAACAAGGAUGAGAGUAGAACGUUCAUCCCUUGACGGUAUCUAACCAGAAAGCCACGGCUAACUACGUGCCAGCCGCCGCAGUAA
RNAcentral lists this ribosomal RNA (523 nucleotides) under uncultured bacterium. RNAcentral's name for it is "partial 16S ribosomal RNA". It matches the Rfam family "Bacterial small subunit ribosomal RNA", at positions 30 to 523 of the family's 1533-position model. The record is from RNAcentral.